This 735-nucleotide long non-coding RNA is filed under the name Homo sapiens (human). RNAcentral's name for it is "non-protein coding LINC02541:64". The record is from RNAcentral. Lineage: Eukaryota; Metazoa; Chordata; Mammalia; Primates; Hominidae.
UUUAUUUAUUUAUUUUUGUAGAGAUGGGAUCUUGCUAUGUGGCCCAGGCUGGCCUCAAACUCCUGGCCUCAAGAUAUUUCCCCCUGCCUUGGCCUCUCAAAGUGAAUCUACUUGGAGAGAGUCAAACACAGAAUCCCUUUGAAUUUAAUGGCCAUUCCAGGUGAUUUGAACAGCCAAAUAAGAAACAGGUCCUCUUCAAUGUACAAUCUGCCAAGUAUGAAGUCUGAAUGACCAUCAUUAUUAUGUAUUUAAUGUGCAUAGAAAAUCUAUCUGCAACCUUCCAGAGUGUACCAGAAGUUUGGAAUGUACAUUAUUAUUGGCUCCAUCUCAAACCACUCAUAAAUCAAAGAAAAUAGCAGUUCCAGAGGAAUCAUCAUAGAGGCUUCUAGGCCCCCAUGCUGUGUGAACCUGGUGAGAAAGGGAAGUCUGCUCUCACUGGACACUGGAACUGUUUGUCUCUGUCUCUGCUGUACUUUCCCUGCCUCUACCUCACUUAGUAAAGAAAUCAUCUUUGCUUGAUAACUAAAACAACCAAUAAGGCUGAGAAAGGGGAAAACCCACAUCUGGAUUUAAAUACAAGGUAUUGGGCCAGCUGCUGGGGAUUAAACUUUGAACAAAACAGAUAGAAUCUAUGUCCUCAUGGGAGUGGCUAAUGGGAGAGUCGGAACAAAAAAAUAGCCAAGGAUAAUCCAGCAAAUGAUUUGGUGAAUGCUAUCAAAGAGAGAAAUACACAUG